Tupaia belangeri chinensis (Chinese tree shrew) is the source of this 833-nucleotide long non-coding RNA. RefSeq lists it as uncharacterized. The record is from RefSeq and is a predicted model, not a curated record. NCBI's taxonomy places the organism in Eukaryota, Metazoa, Chordata, Mammalia, Scandentia, Tupaiidae. The transcript is spliced from 3 exons.
GCGACGGAAGGGCCACUUGUCCACGAUGGAAAUUAACACAAAGAAAAGUCUCUGUAGUCUUAGCUGGGCUUUCUCUCAGAGGCGUUCGACUUGUUCCUACUAGGCUCUCGGUACUGCCCGAGCAACUUUAGUACUGGGUGUCCUGUGGACGUGCCAAAGGAACGGGUAGUCCUUUCUUGACGAAAAUGGCGCUCCAGACCCACGACCUGGGGAGCCAGCAUUCUGGGCGGUUUCUCCAGAAACAGGCAGGAUUCGUACUAGCAGGCUGGUUGCUUGUCUACCUCUGGGGAGAAAGCAGGCGCACAAGUGAAGAGCCCGCGGUCUGAUUUUGAGGGUGUCCCCUGAGGCCAGGGAGUGAAACCCAGAGCACGGGGUCUUUGCCCAUCAGCCUGCUUCACAGGCUCUUCUAAAAAACCGAACAGGAGGAGAAGAAAACUCAACAGGUGAAAAAGAGUUGUAACAAAUGUUGAUCUUUGUCGAGGUGCACUGGGUGUUUCAGGGAUGUGUGCCAGUAAGGCCUCCACUGAAAGACCCAGCCUGAACCGGUCAGAACCAAGAUGGCGUCUGGAACAACCACUGCCUGACCUUCAAACUCAUUAUCCCCUCCUGGUACUGCAUUAGCACACUAGACGACACACCCACCGGCACCGUGACAGUGACAAUUUCCACAGUUAUGACCAGAAAUGACCUUAUAAGGAGAAAGAGGAAGCAGUCCUUGAAGUCCUUGACUUUUCCAGGAAAAGCUCUGAAUAUUCCUUUCCUCUGUUAUCCUAUACCAUGCCCUCAUGACUCCACUUGCUGUAUCUUACAGUGUCCAGCUCAGGAUACGAAAG